This 254-nucleotide ribosomal RNA is filed under the name uncultured bacterium. Its description in RNAcentral is "partial 16S ribosomal RNA". It matches the Rfam family "Bacterial small subunit ribosomal RNA", at positions 524 to 776 of the family's 1533-position model. The record is from RNAcentral.
CACGUAGGGCGCAAGCGUUGUCCGGAAUUAUUGGGCGUAAAGAGCUCGUAGGCGGUCUGUCGCGUCUGCUGUGAAAACUCAGGGCUUAACCCUGAGCUUGCAGUGGGUACGGGCAGACUAGAGUGCGGUAGGGGAGACUGGAAUUCCUGGUGUAGCGGUGAAAUGCGCAGAUAUCAGGAGGAACACCGGUGGCGAAGGCGGGUCUCUGGGCCGUAACUGACGCUGGAGGAGCGAAAGCAUGGGGAGCGAACAGG